UACAUCGGAACGUGCCCAAUCGUGGGGGAUAACGCAGCGAAAGCUGUGCUAAUACCGCAUACGAUCUACGGAUGAAAGCAGGGGACCGCAAGGCCUUGCGCGAAUGGAGCGGCCGAUGGCAGAUUAGGUAGUUGGUGAGGUAAAGGCUCACCAAGCCUUCGAUCUGUAGCUGGUCUGAGAGGACGACCAGCCACACUGGGACUGAGACACGGCCCAGACUCCUACGGGAGGCAGCAGUGGGGAAUUUUGGACAAUGGGCGAAAGCCUGAUCCAGCAAUGCCGCGUGCAGGAUGAAGGCCU
RNAcentral lists this ribosomal RNA (300 nucleotides) under uncultured Variovorax sp. RNAcentral describes it as "bacterial SSU rRNA". It matches the Rfam family "Bacterial small subunit ribosomal RNA", at positions 114 to 417 of the family's 1533-position model. The record is from RNAcentral. Lineage: Bacteria; Pseudomonadati; Pseudomonadota; Betaproteobacteria; Burkholderiales; Comamonadaceae.